RNAcentral lists this ribosomal RNA (378 nucleotides) under Triticum aestivum (bread wheat). Its description in RNAcentral is "partial small subunit ribosomal RNA". The record is from RNAcentral. Lineage: Eukaryota; Viridiplantae; Streptophyta; Magnoliopsida; Poales; Poaceae.
AUGAAGCAAAUCGAGAUGCAGGGCCGCACACCGCCGACUCCUCCUAUCCCGACCCCGACCUUUCUCUCCUUUCUCCCAAUCUGGUCGGUUGGACGAAUCCUGCUAGGCAACACCGGCGACCACAACCUCGAGCAGACCAGUGGUCCGCCUCAAGUCACCUCACCGCCGGCCUCCGCCCCUAUCCUCUGCCCCAAAGCAAUCGACCUCGUCUGCCACCCUCUCCUCCCCGCCUCAUCGGAAGAGAAGAGAACAGGGAGAUCGACCAGGUCAGGCGCCGGUCAUGGCGGCGACCAGAUCCGCCACGGCCGUAGCCACCUCUCUAAGGCUCCGAUCUUGGCUGCCAUGGAGGUCAGAACAACAUGCCGAGACAGGAUCUAA